RNAcentral lists this ribosomal RNA (253 nucleotides) under uncultured bacterium. RNAcentral's name for it is "partial 16S ribosomal RNA". It matches the Rfam family "Bacterial small subunit ribosomal RNA", at positions 524 to 776 of the family's 1533-position model. The record is from RNAcentral.
UACGGAGGGUGCGAGCGUUGUCCGGAUUUAUUGGGUUUAAAGGGUGCGUAGGUGGCUGUUUAAGUCAGUGGUGAAAUACGGUUGCUCAACAAUCGAGGUGCCAUUGAUACUGAAUAGCUUGAAAUAAUUGGAGGCUGCCGGAAUGGAUGGUGUAGCGGUGAAAUGCAUAGAUAUCAUCCAGAACACCGAUUGCGAAGGCAGGUGGCUACGAUUUGUUUGACACUGAGGCACGAAAGCAUGGGGAGCAAACAGG